Molecule: ribosomal RNA, 914 nt
Filed under: Aspergillus egyptiacus
Lineage: Eukaryota; Fungi; Ascomycota; Eurotiomycetes; Eurotiales; Aspergillaceae
Description: LSU rRNA
Rfam family: Eukaryotic large subunit ribosomal RNA
Source: RNAcentral
GCAUAUCAAGAAGCGGAGGAAAAGAAACCCAACCGGGAUUGCCUCAGUAACGGCGAGUGAAGCGGCAAGAGCUCAAAUUUGAAAUCUGGCCCCUCCGGGGUCCGAGUUGUAAUUUGCAGAGGAUGCUUCGGGUGCGGCCCCUGUCUAAGUGCCCUGGAACGGGCCGUCAGAGAGGGUGAGAAUCCCGUCUUGGGCAGGGUGCCCGUGCCCGUGUGAAGCUCCUUCGACGAGUCGAGUUGUUUGGGAAUGCAGCUCUAAAUGGGUGGUAAAUUUCAUCUAAAGCUAAAUACCGGCCGGAGACCGAUAGCGCACAAGUAGAGUGAUCGAAAGAUGAAAAGCACUUUGAAAAGAGAGUUAAACAGCACGUGAAAUUGUUGAAAGGGAAGCGCUUGCGACCAGACUCGCCCCCGGGGUUCAGCCAGCACUCGUGCUGGUGUACUUCCCCGGGGUCGGGCCAGCGUCGGUUCGGGCGGCCGGUCAAAGGCCCCAGGAAUGUAUCGCCCUCCGGGGCGUCUUAUAGCCUGGGGUGCAAUGCGGCCAGCCCGGACCGAGGAACGCGCUUCGGCACGGACGCUGGCGUAAUGGUCGCAAACGACCCGUCUUGAAACACGGACCAAGGAGUCUAACAUCUACGCGAGUGUUCGGGUGUCAAACCCGUACGCGCAGUGAAAGCGAACGGAGGUGGGAGCCCCCCCGGGGCGCACCAUCGACCGAUCCUGAUGUCUUCGGAUGGAUUUGAGUAGGAGCGUAGCUGUGGGGACCCGAAAGAUGGUGAACUAUGCCUGAAUAGGGCGAAGCCAGAGGAAACUCUGGUGGAGGCUCGCAGCGGUUCUGACGUGCAAAUCGAUCGUCAAAUUUGGGGUAUAGGGGCGAAAGACUAAUCGAAACCAUCUGGUAGCUGGUUGCUGCCGAAG